AUGCACCUCCCCCCACCGCUUCCUACCCCGCCAUCCCACACUUGACUGUUACCAGCUCCCGGUCCCCCUGAACCCUCCUCUACCUCUUGCCUGCUACCCCGUCGUCGUCAUCGGAAAAAUGUAAUAUCGAUUACCUCCACAACCUCGGGGUGGUGGUGGUGGUACUUUGUAUCCGGCCACGGCCCCCCUCAUUACAGUACCGAUGAUACCGAUGAUACCGAUGAUACCGAUGAUACCGAUGAUACCGAUGAUACCGAUGAUACCGAUAAUACCGAUAAUACCGAUGAUACCGAUAAUACCGAUGAUACCGAUAAUACCGAUGAUACCGAUAAUACCGAUGAUACCGAUAAUACCGAUGAUACCGAUAAUACCGAUAAUACCGAUAAUACCGAUGAUACCGAUGAUACCGAUGAUACCGAUAAUACCGAUGAUACCGAUAAUACCGAUGAUACCGAUGAUACCGAUGAUACCGAUGAUACCGAUGAUACCGAUGAUACCGAUAAUACCGAUGAUACCGAUAAUACCGAUAAUACCGAUAAUACCGAUAAUACCGAUGAUACCGAUGAUACCGAUGAUACCGAUGAUACCGAUAAUACCGAUGAUACCGAUAAUACCGAUAAUACCGAUGAUACCGAUAAUACCGAUGAUACCGAUAAUACCGAUGAUACCGAUAAUACCGAUGAUACCGAUGAUACCGAUGAUACCGAUAAUACCGAUGAUACCGAUGAUA
This 730-nucleotide long non-coding RNA is filed under the name Volvox carteri. RNAcentral describes it as "long non-coding RNA (VCAR_LNC002358)". The record is from RNAcentral. Lineage: Eukaryota; Viridiplantae; Chlorophyta; Chlorophyceae; Chlamydomonadales; Volvocaceae.